This 446-nucleotide ribosomal RNA is filed under the name uncultured bacterium. RNAcentral's name for it is "partial 16S ribosomal RNA". It matches the Rfam family "Bacterial small subunit ribosomal RNA", at positions 338 to 795 of the family's 1533-position model. The record is from RNAcentral.
CCUACGGGUGGCAGCAGUCGAGAAUCAUUCACAAUGGGGGAAACCCUGAUGGUGCGACGCCGCGUGGGGGAAUGAAGGUCUUCGGAUUGUAAACUCCUGUCAUGUGGGAGCAAAUUAAGAAGAUUGUAUCACAAGCGGAAGCGACGGCUAACGCUGUGGCAGCAGCCGCGGUAAUACGGAGGGCUCAAGCGUUGUUCGGAAUCAGUGGGCGUAAAGUGUGCGUAGGCUGUUGCGUAAGUCGUGUGUGAAAGGCGCGGGCCCAACCCGCGGACGGCACAUGAAACUGUGAGGCUAGAGUGAAGGAGGGGGAAGCGGAAUUCUCGGUGUAGCAGUGAAAUGCGUAGAUAUCGGGAGGAACACUCGUGGCGAAGGCGGGUUCCUGGACAUUAACUGACGCUGAGGCACGAAGGCCAGGGGAGCGAAAGGGAUUAGAUACCCGUGUAGUC